GGGUCAGUAGGUUGGUCGUGCCACCGGUACGUACUGGUCUCACUUACUCCUCCUUCCUGAAGAACCGUAAUGCCAUUAAUUUGGUGUUGCGGGGAAACAGGACUGUUACUUUGAAAAAAUUAGAGUGUUUAAAGCAAGCUAACGCUUGAAUACAUUAGCAUGGAAUAAUGAAAUAGGACGAUCGAUCCUAUUUUGUUGGUUUCUAGGAUUGACGUA
RNAcentral lists this ribosomal RNA (216 nucleotides) under Glomeromycotina sp. Its description in RNAcentral is "partial small subunit ribosomal RNA". The stretch from base 40 to 216 matches the Rfam family "Eukaryotic small subunit ribosomal RNA", at positions 686 to 864 of the family's 1831-position model. Lineage: Eukaryota; Fungi; Glomeromycota. The record is from RNAcentral.